This 253-nucleotide ribosomal RNA is filed under the name uncultured bacterium. RNAcentral's name for it is "partial 16S ribosomal RNA". It matches the Rfam family "Bacterial small subunit ribosomal RNA", at positions 524 to 776 of the family's 1533-position model. The record is from RNAcentral.
UACAGAGGGGGCUAGCGUUGCUCGGAAUCACUGGGCGUAAAGGGCGCGUAGGCGGAUCUUUAAGUCGGGGGUGAAAGCCCAGGGCUCAACCCUGGAAUUGCCUUCGAUACUGAAGAUCUCGAGACCGGAAGAGGUAAGUGGAACUGCGAGUGUAGAGGUGAAAUUCGUAGAUAUUCGCAAGAACACCAGUGGCGAAGGCGGCUUACUGGUCCGGUUCCGACGCUGAGACGCGAAAGCGUGGGGAGCAAACAGG